GGGCUGGAGAGAUGGCUCAGAGGUUA
RNAcentral lists this non-coding RNA (26 nucleotides) under Cricetulus griseus (Chinese hamster). The record is from RNAcentral. RNAcentral also lists the same sequence under 1 other name. Lineage: Eukaryota; Metazoa; Chordata; Mammalia; Rodentia; Cricetidae.